AUCGCGGACCGCCGAGCGCGGCAUGACCUGCCGCACGACCCCGUCUGCAAGUUAUGCGGCCAGGACAGCGAGACACUCCACCAUCUCCUUGUUGGGUGCGUCUUCUCGCGCAUUGCCUGGCACGACAUCUUGGCAUGGUGCCGCACGCCAGCAUCACCCCCCGACGGCAACACCGGCUUCUUCGAAUGGUGGACCGCUACCAAUGUCCUGACAAGCCUACGCAAGGGCAUCAACUCCCUGGUAAUCCUCACCUCCUGGGCCAUAUGGAAGCACCGCAAUGCCGUCCUCUUCGACAACGCAUCACCCAACCACAACUCCCUCCUAGACGACAUCAAGCAGGAGGUGAAACUCUGGGCAAGAGCCGGCACCAAAGGGCUCGAUCGGAUCAUUCCUGUAACAUAA
Molecule: ribosomal RNA, 402 nt
Filed under: Triticum aestivum (bread wheat)
Lineage: Eukaryota; Viridiplantae; Streptophyta; Magnoliopsida; Poales; Poaceae
Description: partial small subunit ribosomal RNA
Source: RNAcentral